GAUGAACGCUGGCGGCGUGCCUAAUACAUGCAAGUCGAGCGAACAGACGAGGAGCUUGCUCCUCUGACGUUAGCGGCGGGCGGGUGAGUAACACGUGGAUAACCUACCUAUAAGACUGGGAUAAGUUCGGGAAACCGGAGCUAAUACCGGAUAAUAUAUUUAACCGCAUGGUUCAAUAGUGAAAGACGGUUUUGCUGUCACUUAUAGAUGGAUCCGCGCCGCAUUAGCUAGUUGGUAAGGUAACGGCUUACCAAGGCGACGAUGCGUAGCCGACCUGAGAGGACGAUCGGCCACACUGGAACUGAGACACGGUCCAGACUCCUACGGGAGGCAGCAGUAGGGAAUUUUCCGCAAUGGGCGAAAGCCUGACGGAGCAACGCCGCGUGAGUGAUGAAGGUCUUCGGAUCGUAAAACUCUGUUAUUAGGGAAGAACAAAUGUGUAAGUAACUAUGCACGUCUUGACGGUACCUAAUCAGAAAGCCCCGGCUAACUACGUG
This 497-nucleotide ribosomal RNA is filed under the name uncultured bacterium. RNAcentral describes it as "partial 16S ribosomal RNA". It matches the Rfam family "Bacterial small subunit ribosomal RNA", at positions 28 to 507 of the family's 1533-position model. The record is from RNAcentral.